Molecule: unclassified non-coding RNA, 284 nt
Filed under: uncultured fungus
Lineage: Eukaryota; Fungi
Description: partial contains small subunit ribosomal RNA, internal transcribed spacer 1, and 5.8S ribosomal RNA
Rfam family: Eukaryotic small subunit ribosomal RNA (bases 1-73)
Source: RNAcentral
GCAAACUUGGUCAUUUAGAGGAAGUAAAAGUCGUAACAAGGUCUCCGUUGGUGAACCAGCGGAGGGAUCAUUAUAGAGUUGUAAAACUCCCUAAACCCACUGUGAACGUACCUAUAUUUGUUCCUUCGGCAGGCGGCCCCUGGGGGGGCUUCGCUGUCGAUCGGCGCCUGCCGAAGGACAAACAAAACUCUGCUGCUUCAGUGUUACCUCUGAGCAACUAAAACAAAUAAGUCACAACUUUCAACAACGGAUCUCUUGGUUCUGGCAUCGAUGAAGAACGCAGC